RNAcentral lists this long non-coding RNA (714 nucleotides) under Rattus norvegicus (Norway rat). Its description in RNAcentral is "long non-coding RNA NONRATT022646". Lineage: Eukaryota; Metazoa; Chordata; Mammalia; Rodentia; Muridae. The record is from RNAcentral.
AUCCCUGUACCCAGUGGGAGAGGACCAGUCUAGACAAACUUGUUCAUGCUCCUUCUGCUCUUGGUGGUGAAUGCAGGAGAUUCUCGGGUUCCUUCCCCGUCCUCCCCAAAGCUAACCCAGUGUGCUCACCCAGCCCUGCCUGGCUCCCUCCUGUGUGUGCUUGGGAGGUCCCAGGAUACACUCAAGGAGCAAAGGCUGGUGGGUCCCCAGCACCUGCUGUGUGUCACUCUCCCUCUGGCCUUGGGCACUUUCUAUUCAUCCCCAGUGGCUCAGAAGGGAACAAGGCAGAUUAAGUCCUUCACCCACCAUCCGUACCCUGUACCUACCACCUCCAUCCCACGAGGGAAAAAAACAGUAAAACAAAAACAAAAAAAAUCUUUUGUACAGAGAUAUAUUUUUAUUAUACAAAGUUUGUACAGUACCAAAAAAAGACAGAAAAAAAAUGGUGUACAUUUUUUUUUCAUUAUUGUAGGUAAAUGGUGUGGGAGCCUUUUUUUUGUAAAUGUAAUAAAAUGUAUAAAUAUGGUUUUCAGAAAGCAUCCCGUGCUGUAAAUAUGUAAUCUACACCCCUUUCUCGGCUUGUCUGCAGUAUAUGCAUUUAAUUUAUCUGUCUCCGUAUAUGAGGCUUCCCCCUGGGGUUCUGCAUUAUGGUACUUUCCGGAAUUUGAAAGCAAUUUUAAAUUUUUUGAAUUCAAAUAAAAUAUAAAUUUUUGC